Molecule: ribosomal RNA, 525 nt
Filed under: Anilios ligatus (robust blind snake)
Lineage: Eukaryota; Metazoa; Chordata; Lepidosauria; Squamata; Typhlopidae
Description: partial 12S ribosomal RNA
Rfam family: Bacterial small subunit ribosomal RNA
Source: RNAcentral
AAGCAGGAGCCGGUAUCAGGCCAUAGCCUACAACGCCACGCCACGCCACACCCACACGGGCCCGCAGCAGUAACUAAUAUUAGGCCAUCGGCGAAAGCCCGACCUAGUUAUAAUUAAGAGGGUUGGUAAAAUUCGUGCCAGCGACCGCGGUUACACGAAUGACCCGAGAUAACAGCCACGGCGUAAAUAUGACCAGAGUUUAGGGAGGAGACUAAGACCCGCUGUAAAAUGCCAAGUCUAAAAAAACCCCCUCGCCCUAAGACUCUUGACUCAUGAAAGCCAAGAAACAAACUAGGAUUAGAUACCCUACUAUGCUUGGCAGAAACAAGGCUCCAGCCCGCCAGAUAAUUACGAGUAAAAACUUAAAAUUCAAAGGACUUGACGGUGUCCCACACACAACCUAGAGGAGCCUGUCCUAUAAUCGAUAAUCCACGAUAGACCCCACCACUUUUUGCCAAACAAUCUAUAUACCGCCGUCGAAAGUCUACCUUUUGAAAGAAAAGAAGUAGACAAAAAAGCCCCCCC